Molecule: ribosomal RNA, 262 nt
Filed under: uncultured archaeon
Lineage: Archaea
Description: partial 16S ribosomal RNA
Rfam family: Archaeal small subunit ribosomal RNA
Source: RNAcentral
CAGCCGUAAACUAUGCUCGCUAGGUGUCAGGCAUGGCGCGACCGUGUCUGGUGCCGCAGGGAAGCCGUGAAGCGAGCCACCUGGGAAGUACGGCCGCAAGGCUGAAACUUAAAGGAAUUGGCGGGGGAGCACAACAACGGGUGGAGCCUGCGGUUUAAUUGGACCCAACGCCGGACAACUCACCGGGGGACGACAGCAAUAUGUAGGCCAGGCUGAAGACCUUGCCUGAAUCGCUGAGAGGAGGUGCAUGGCGUAGACGUCU